GACGAACGCUGGCGGCGUGCUUAACACAUGCAAGUCGUGCGGUAAGGCCCUUUCUUGGUUACACGAGCGUCGAACGGGUGUGUAACACGUGAGCAACCUGCCCUUCACUUUGGUAUAACUGCCGGAAACGGUGGCUAAUACCUGCUAUGACUUCCUCACUCAUGUGGGGUGGUGGAAAGCCUUCGGGUGGUGGUGGAUGGGCUCGCGGUCUAUCUGCUUGUUGGUGGGGUGAUGGCCUACCACGGCUUCGACGGGUAGCCGGCCUGAGAGGGUGACCGGCCACAGUGGGACUGAGAAAGGGCCCAGACUCCUACGGGAGGCAGCAGUGGGGAAUAUUGGACAAUGGGCGAAAGCCUGAUACAGCAACGCCGCGUGAGGGAUGACGGCCUUCGGGUUGUAAACCUCUUUCGCCUGAGACGAAGCGAGAGUGACGGUAGCAGGUAAAGAAGCACCGGCUAACUACGUG
This 466-nucleotide ribosomal RNA is filed under the name uncultured bacterium. RNAcentral describes it as "partial 16S ribosomal RNA". It matches the Rfam family "Bacterial small subunit ribosomal RNA", at positions 28 to 507 of the family's 1533-position model. The record is from RNAcentral.